GUAAUCGUGGAUCAGAAUGCCACGGUGAAUACGUUCCCGGGCCUUGUACACACCGCCCGUCACACCAUGGGAGUGGGUUGCAAAGAAGUAGGUAGCUUAACCUUCGGGAGGGCGCUUACCACUUUGUGAUUCAUGACUGGGGUGAAGUCGUAACAAGGUAUC
This 162-nucleotide ribosomal RNA is filed under the name uncultured bacterium. RNAcentral's name for it is "partial 16S ribosomal RNA". It matches the Rfam family "Bacterial small subunit ribosomal RNA", at positions 1338 to 1500 of the family's 1533-position model. The record is from RNAcentral.